Non-coding RNA from Chiloscyllium plagiosum (whitespotted bambooshark), 73 nucleotides. NCBI's taxonomy places the organism in Eukaryota, Metazoa, Chordata, Chondrichthyes, Orectolobiformes, Hemiscylliidae. The record is from the annotation of a RefSeq genome assembly.
GUUUCUGUAGUGUAGUGGUCAUCACGUUCACCUAUCGCGCGAGCGAUCCCCAGUUCGAAACUGGGCGGAAACU